AUUGAACGCUGGCGGCAGGCUUAACACAUGCAAGUCGAGCGGGGUGAUGGUGCUUGCACUAUCACUUAGCGGCGGACGGGUGAGUAAUGCUUAGGAAUCUGCCUAUUAGUGGGGGACAACAUCUCGAAAGGGAUGCUAAUACCGCAUACGUCCUACGGGAGAAAGCAGGGGACCACUUGUGACAUUGAGCUAAUAGAUGAGCCUAAGUCGGAUUAGCGAGUUGGUGGGGUAAAGGCCUACCAAGGCGACGAUCGGUAGCGGGUCUGAGAGGAUGAUCCGCCACACUGGGACUGAGACACGGCCCAGACUCCUACGGGAGGCAGCAGUGGGGAAUAUUGGACAAUGGGGGGAACCCUGAUCCAGCCAUGCCGCGUGUGUGAAGAAGGCCUUAUGGUUGUAAAGCACUUUAAGCGAGGAGGAGGCUCUUUUGGUUAAUACCCAAGAUGAGUGGACGUUACUCGCAGAAUAAGCACCGGCUAACUCUGUGCCAGCAGCCGCAGUAA
Molecule: ribosomal RNA, 503 nt
Filed under: uncultured bacterium
Lineage: Bacteria
Description: partial 16S ribosomal RNA
Rfam family: Bacterial small subunit ribosomal RNA
Source: RNAcentral